This 1345-nucleotide ribosomal RNA is filed under the name uncultured bacterium. Its description in RNAcentral is "partial 16S ribosomal RNA". It matches the Rfam family "Bacterial small subunit ribosomal RNA", at positions 28 to 1379 of the family's 1533-position model. The record is from RNAcentral.
GACGAACUUUGGCGGCGUGCUUAACACAUGCAAGUCGAACGGAAAGGCCCUGCUUUUGUGGGGUGCUCGAGUGGCGAACGGGUGAGUAACACGUGAGUAACCUGCCCUUGACUUUGGGAUAACUUCAGGAAACUGGGGCUAAUACCGGAUAGGAGCUCCUGCUGCAUGGUGGGGGUUGGAAAGUUUCGGCGGUUGGGGAUGGACUCGCGGCUUAUCAGCUUGUUGGUGGGGUAGUGGCUUACCAAGGCUUUGACGGGUAGCCGGCCUGAGAGGGUGACCGGCCACAUUGGGACUGAGAUACGGCCCAGACUCCUACGGGAGGCAGCAGUGGGGAAUAUUGCACAAUGGGCGGAAGCCUGAUGCAGCAACGCCGCGUGCGGGAUGACGGCCUUCGGGUUGUAAACCGCUUUCCCCUGUGACGAAGCGUGAGUGACGGUAAUGGGUAAAGAAGCACCGGCUAACUACGUGCCAGCAGCCGCGGUGAUACGUAGGGUGCGAGCGUUGUCCGGAUUUAUUGGGCGUAAAGGGCUCGUAGGUGGUUGAUCGCGUCGGAAGUGUAAUCUUGGGGCUUAACCCUGAGCGUGCUUUCGAUACGGGUUGACUUGAGGAAGGUAGGGGAGAAUGGAAUUCCUGGUGGAGCGGUGGAAUGCGCAGAUAUCAGGAGGAACACCAGUGGCGAAGGCGGUUCUCUGGGCCUUUCCUGACGCUGAGGAGCGAAAGCGUGGGGAGCGAACAGGCUUAGAUACCCUGGUAGUCCACGCUGUAAACGGUUGGGUACUAGGUGUGGGGUCCAUUCCACGGGUUCCGUGCCGUAGCUAACGCUUUAAGUACCCCGCCUGGGGAGUACGGCCGCAAGGCUAAAACUCAAAGGAAUUGACGGGGCCCCGCACAAGCGGCGGAGCAUGCGGAUUAAUUCGAUGCAACGCGUAGAACCUUACCUGGGUUUGACAUGGAUCGGGAGUGCUCAGAGAUGGGUGUGCCUCUUUUGGGGUCGGUUCACAGGUGGUGCAUGCCUGUCGUCAGCUCGUGUCGUGAGAUGUUGGGUUAAGUCCCGCAACGAGCGCAACCCUUGUUCACUGUUGCCAGCACGUUAUGGUGGGGACUCAGUGGAGACCGCCGGGGUCAACUCGGAGGAAGGUGGGGAUGACGUCAAGUCAUCAUGCCCCUUAUGUCCAGGGCUUCACGCAUGCUACAAUGGCUGGUACAGAGAGUGGCGAGCCUGUGAGGGUGAGCGAAUCUCGGAAAGCCGGUCUCAGUUCGGAUUGGGGUCUGCAACUCGACCUCAUGAAGUCGGAGUCGCUAGUAAUCGCAGAUCAGCAACGCUGCGGUGAAUACGUUCCCUGGG